Molecule: ribosomal RNA, 1299 nt
Filed under: Canicola haemoglobinophilus
Lineage: Bacteria; Pseudomonadati; Pseudomonadota; Gammaproteobacteria; Pasteurellales; Pasteurellaceae
Description: bacterial SSU rRNA
Rfam family: Bacterial small subunit ribosomal RNA
Source: RNAcentral
GGCGGACGGGUGAGUAAUGCUUGGGAAUCUUGCUUAUGGAGGGGGAUAACCAUUGGAAACGAUGGCUAAUACCGCGUAAUAUCGGGAGAUUAAAGACUGGGACUUUUGCCCGUUGCCAUAACAUGAGCCCAAGUGGGAUUAGGUAGUUGGGGGGGUAAAGGCCUACCAAGCCUUCCAUCUCUAGCUGGUCUGAAAAGAUGACCAGCCACACUGGAACUGAAACACGGUCCAAACUCCUACGGGAGGCAGCAGGGGGGAAUAUUGCGCAAUGGGGGCAACCCUGACGCAACCCUGCCGCGUGAAUGAAAAAGGCCUUCGGGUUGUAAAGUUCUUUCGGUGAUGAGGAAGGUUGUGAUGUUUAUAGCAUGACAAAUUGACGUUAGUCACAGAAAAAACACCGGCUAACUCCGUGCCAGCAGCCGCGGUAAUACGGAGGGUGCGAGCGUUUAUCGGAAUAACUGGGCGUAAAGGGCACGCAGGCGGUGACUUAAGUGAGGUGUGAAAUCCCCGGGCUUAACCUGGGAAUUGCAUUUCAGACUGUGGUCGCUAGAGUACUUUAGGGGAGGGGGAGAAUUCCACGUGUAGCGGUGAAAUGCGUAGAGAUGUGGAGGAAUACCCAAGGCGAAGGCAGCCCCUUGGGAAUGUACUGACGCUCAUGUGCGAAAGCGUGGGGAGCAAACAGGAUUAGAUACCCUGGUAGUCCACGCUGUAAACGCUGUCGAUUUGGGGAUUGGGCUUUGAGCUUGGUGCCCGUAGCUAACGUGAUAAAUCGACCGCCUGGGGAGUACGGCCGCAAGGUUAAAACUCAAAUGAAUUGACGGGGGCCCGCACAAGCGGUGGAGCAUGUGGUUUAAUUCGAUGCAACGCGAAGAACCUUACCUACUCUUGACAUCCUAAGAAGCUCGUAGAGAUAUGAGUGUGCCUUCGGGAACUUAGAGACAGGUGCUGCAUGGCUGUCGUCAGCUCGUGUUGUGAAAUGUUGGGUUAAGUCCCGCAACGAGCGCAACCCUUAUCCUUUGUUGCCAGCGGUUAGGCCGGGAACUCAAAGGAGACUGCCAGUGAUAAACUGGAGGAAGGUGGGGAGGACGUCAAGUCAUCAUGGCCCCUACGAGUAGGGCUACACACGUGCUACAAUGGUGCAUACAGAGGGGGACAAACCAGCGAUGGGGAGUGAAUCUCAGAAAGUGCAUCUAAGUCCGGAUUGGAGUCUGCAACUCGACUCCAUGAAGUCGGAAUCGCUAGUAAUCGCGAAUCAGAAUGUCGCGGUGAAUACGUUCCCGGGCCUUGUACACCCCGCCC